AACGAACGCUGGCGGCAUGCCUAACACAUGCAAGUCGAACGAGACCUUCGGGUCUAGUGGCGCACGGGUGCGUAACGCGUGGGAACCUGCCCUUAGGUUCGGAAUAACUCCCCGAAAGGGGUGCUAAUACCGGAUAAUGUCUUCGGACCAAAGAUUUAUCGCCUUUGGAUGGGCCCGCGUUGGAUUAGCUAGUUGGUAGGGUAAAAGCCUACCAAGGCGACGAUCCAUAGCUGGUCUGAGAGGAUGAUCAGCCACACUGGGACUGAGUCACGGCCCAGACUCCUACGGGAGGCAGCAGUGGGGAAUAUUGGACAAUGGGCGAAAGCCUGAUCCAGCAAUGCCGCGUGAGUGAUGAAGGCCUUAGGGUUGUAAAGCUCUUUUACCCGGGAUGAUAAUGACAGUACCGGGAGAAUAAGCUCCGGCUAACUCCGCG
This 433-nucleotide ribosomal RNA is filed under the name uncultured bacterium. Its description in RNAcentral is "partial 16S ribosomal RNA". It matches the Rfam family "Bacterial small subunit ribosomal RNA", at positions 29 to 507 of the family's 1533-position model. The record is from RNAcentral.